UUAAAGUCGGACCUGCCCACUGAAUUAUUAAAGGGCCGCAGUAUUUUGACUGUGCAAAGGUAGCAUAAUCCUUAGUUUUUUAAUUGAAAGCUUGUAUGAAUGGUUUGAUGAGAAAAUAACUUUCUAUAUUUAAAUUUUUAAAAAUUUUAUUUUUAAGUUAAAAAGCUUAAAUUUUUUUAAUAGACGAGAAGACCCUAUAGAGUUUUAUUAUAUUAAUUUUUUAAAUUUUUAGAAUUUAAAAAUUUUAAUUUUUAAUAUAAUUUGGUUGGGGUGACUGAAAAAUUAAAUAAACUUUUUUUAUAUUAUU
Molecule: ribosomal RNA, 307 nt
Filed under: Coccinella septempunctata (seven-spotted ladybird)
Lineage: Eukaryota; Metazoa; Arthropoda; Insecta; Coleoptera; Coccinellidae
Description: partial 16S ribosomal RNA
Source: RNAcentral